This 507-nucleotide ribosomal RNA is filed under the name uncultured Xanthobacteraceae bacterium. RNAcentral's name for it is "bacterial SSU rRNA". It matches the Rfam family "Bacterial small subunit ribosomal RNA", at positions 903 to 1382 of the family's 1533-position model. Lineage: Bacteria; Pseudomonadati; Pseudomonadota; Alphaproteobacteria; Hyphomicrobiales; Xanthobacteraceae. The record is from RNAcentral.
UCCCAGCCCGCUCAGAAACUCGAAAGGAAGUUCGACGGGGGCCCGCACGAAAGCGGUGGAGCAUGUGGUUAAUUCGAAGCAACGCGCAGAACUUACCAGCCCUUGACAUCCCGGUCGCGGGUACCAGAGAUUGGAACCCUUCAGUUCGGCUGGACCGGAGACAGGUGCUGCAUGGCUGUCGUCAGCUCGUGUCGUGAGAUGUUGGGUUAAGUCCCGCAACGAGCGCAACCCUCGCCCUUAGUUGCCAUCAUUAAGUUGGGCACUCUAAGGGGACUGCCGGUGAUAAGCCGGAGGAAGGUGGGGGAUGACGUCAAGUCCUCAUGGCCCUUACGGGCUGGGCUACACACGUGCUACAAUGGCGGUGACAGAGGGACGCAAAGGAGCAAUCCUUCGCAAAUCUCAAAAAGCCGUCUCAGUUCGGAUUGGGGUCUGCAACUCGACCCCAUGAAGUUGGAAUCGCUAGUAAUCGCAGAUCAGCACGCUGCGGUGAAUACGUUCCCGGGCCUU